Molecule: non-coding RNA, 3375 nt
Organism: Tetranychus urticae (two-spotted spider mite)
Lineage: Eukaryota; Metazoa; Arthropoda; Arachnida; Trombidiformes; Tetranychidae
Source: RefSeq, a predicted model, not a curated record
AUGUGUUAAAUGAUCAAAUCAGAAAGAAUGGAACUUUUUUGAUCAGAACUUUUUUAUAUUUGCUAUGGAGGUUAUGCUCAUAACAGUUUCUGUUAAAAUAGCAAAGGUAAUCUUAUUCUGAUCUUAUUGCCACAUUUUUUCUUGCAAAAUAGCCACAGAUUUGCGAUUUCUUGCAAUAGAUUAACAGGUUUGUGGAAGUUAAUCAUCUUCUGUUUGUUACAUCACCCCUGUUAUAACCACCGACACCAUCAUCAUCUAAACCCCAGGAUCAUUAGUGUUAAACCAUUAAGAGUUGCAUUGAAAAAGGAAAAGUGCAAGUGAAAUGAAAAAAAGUGAAACCAAUUGAUGGUGUUGACUGAUAAUUUCGCUGAUGCCUGCUUUGUCUGAACCAGAAAAUUUCUUAACCAAAGUUGGGUAACAUCAACAAUAACAAUCAACUACAAAAGCAAGGCUCAAGCAAUCAGAAAAAAGUAACAAAAUAAGCAACCAAGGUUAAUCACUGAUCACCUGUUGACAUAAGUGCUAUUUCACUUAAAAACAAGGUCAUUACCAGAUGGUGAAUGCAACAGGUUGAAUGGCUUUUACAUUGAAACAUCAUCUUCACGGUUUACCUGUUGGACUUAUGUGGCAACGCAAUCAAACCUGGACUCAAUCCAAAUUUCGUGAUAAUUACAUUUGAAUUGCAAAAAUCAAACAGAGGAAAAACGAUGAAGACGAUUAAUGGAAAUGCCUUUAUGCCGUAAAAUUGCUUUAUAAUCAUCACAAUGGCUACACCUUUGCUCAUUGUCAUGGGUUUUAAACCAGAUUCAGACUGAGGAAUGAUAUCAAUACAAAAAAAGUCAACAAUACAAAUGAACAACAAAACAAAAGGAGAAAUAUUAAUACACAAAUUAAAUGAGAUAAUGAUGAUGGUGAUAUUAAAUCUUGGGCGUCAUCAUGGUGAGGAUGACUAUUUGUAAACGCACAAGACACCUAAUGAUGAUGACGAGAUAAAGACAAUGAAAAUUGAAUACUGUUCAACGGAAUAUCACUCUUCUUUCCAGUCAAGUUAGACAAACAAAAAGGCAUUUUACAGUAAAACGGAAAUCAUUUUAUGGAUCGUUGGUUAACAAAGUUAUAAAAAAAAUGAACAGAAAUGUUAUCCGGAUUUUUUCAAGCUCAUAUUGAAAUGUUGAUAAAGACAAAGCUUGAGCAUGAUAUUGUCAUGAUGGAAAUCAAUCAAUCGCUCAACAUUCCACUCACAUGGUCUUAUCGGUUAAAUCCAACAGAAACCUAUGAUAAAAUAAGGUCACUCAAUUAGCUGAAUUGAUUAUUGGAACAAUGGAAAGGCUGUAAACCAAUUGUUGGUCAACCUGGACGCAAAUGUGAGCAACAAAUGUUUGGUUGAACAAUAAGUUAUCAACAUUUAAUGUUAAUAAUAGAAAAGAAAGAAAUCAUACUCCUUAUCAUCAUUAACUUCAUCGUCAUUAUCAUCAUCAUGGAAGGAAGAUACAGAAUGUAGAAAACAAAGUCAAUACUGAACUCUCACAAUCUUCAGUCUACAAUCUGCUCUUCCUUAACCUUAGCCAUUAUGUAUUUUUAUUCAUUACUAAAGGUGAACAGAAGAUGAAAUGAUGAAAAAAAUGUCUUCCUGGUUACAUCAGAAAAACCAUCAGAAUAGGAAAAAAAUAAUAAUCAACAUAAAAAUGGAAUCAUUUUGUUCCCAAGGUUGAUUCCAUACUCAGGCAAGAAGGUGAAGAUGAUGGUAACGAUGAUAAACAUACAGAUGAAGAAAGAUGAUGAGAAAGCAAAAUGAUAACAAAAAAAAGUGUAUUUGUUUUCAUUGUUCAAGAAGACAAAAAAAGAGCCAAAAUAAUCAACAAAAUUCUUCUCUAAAUGAACCAUUUUAGUUGCUAUCAUCAUCAUUAUCAACAGCAACUAACAGCAACGAUUUCCAUCAUCGCCAUUACCUUUUGAGGAAAGUAAAUCACAAUGAAUGAUAUUUUUGAAUGUUUACAAGUCCAAUCACAACCAGAAUUAACCCUUAAUCAAUCUUUUUUAACUAUUCAAUUGAAAGAGUUGGUUAAACGGCUGAAACCAAUUGAAUAUUGAAGGAAACAAUCAGUUAACUAACCCUUAAACUAACACUAUUUCCCUGUGAUUUAUACGCUCUUUUAUUAACCAAAUAUCUUUGCUCUUUAUAUUUACAGGUAAUUGUUUCCUCAACAAUCAAUUCAACUCUAUACGGAAGAUUAUCUCCAUUUUUUAUCAUUAUUAUCAUUUUUGAUUAACUAUUACAAUCAUAAUAGUCAUAUUUUUCCCAACAAAUGAUUCAAUCUUAGCUGUCUUUGUGUUCAACAUGUUUUCCCUCCAAUCGUGACUUACCUUUUUACCUGUAAAUUUGGGAAUCAAAAUGAGAAUCCAAGAAAAGAGAAGAAAGAAAAAUCUAAAAAUGUGUAAAAAAGCUGAAAAUUUCAAUGCACAGACAGAUCAACAUUUUGUGAACAAAACUUCAUACAAUUUAAACCAGAUAACACCUUGAAAAGUAACAUUUUAAAGCUGUUUUUUGUCUUCAACCUUUCAACUUGAUUUUGUCUUUUCCUUCCUUAACCUGAUGAAAUUUCAUGAACUUUUUUGACUCUCAGAAAAACUGCAAAAGCUGAAUUACACCUUUUUCAGAUUAUUGUCUUUACGAUUGUUCCGAUAUUCAUUGGUAUAUUGAAAUGAAUAGUCCGAGGCUUGAGAUUAGCUGGAAAUUGUUGAUGUUUGUUGGUAAUAAUGGUGGUUAGUGGACAGUAGUUAUCAAAUUGACUGAUGAUGGUAUGAAUAGAUGAUAAUGAUUGAGAUUAAGAGUUGGGAUUGGAGUUAAUUGCGAACCAAUUUUCGAUACCUUUUUUGUCCAUCUAAUUGUUAAACUUGUUUCUUAUUUCACACAAUUUUGUAGCAACAAUAAUGGAAAUGGCUAUGAUUGUGAUGAUGAAUGUGAUUAUAUGUAUAUCAUGAUGAAACUUCAAGUAAAAAUGGUUUCUUAAAAUAAUAUCUUGAAAUGUGGAUAAUAAUAAUACCUUGACUGGGUAACUCAGUUUGUUCACAUGAACAGAGUCAAUACUUUGAUUGUUUGUAUCAAAAUGUCAUUCAUCUGGUUAAUGAUAUUCAAUUGUCGAUUCAAUUUUUUGACUCAAUGAAAGUAAAUUGCCCUUUUGUCCAAUGUUAAUCAACUAUUGGUUGACCUGAUUUCCAGGUUACAUUAAAAAUGAAAAUGAAAAUUUGAUCAACAUUAAUCAUCCAAAUAUACACUUUCAUUCAGAUGGACAAGUAAAAAUCACAAUGAAAGUUAAUCAUUAAACAAAUUGUAAUCAAUUCUCACAGUCACAUAAUUGUAACACUAAGCAUUAG